This 254-nucleotide ribosomal RNA is filed under the name uncultured bacterium. RNAcentral's name for it is "partial 16S ribosomal RNA". It matches the Rfam family "Bacterial small subunit ribosomal RNA", at positions 524 to 776 of the family's 1533-position model. The record is from RNAcentral.
UACGGAGGGUGCAAACGUUGCUCGGAAUCAUUGGGCGUAAAGCGCACGUAGGCGGCCUGUUAAGUCGGGUGUGAAAGCCCUGGGCUCAACCCAGGAAGUGCACUCGAAACUGGCGGGGCUUGAAUAUGGAAGAGGGUCGCGGAAUUCCCGGUGUAGAGGUGAAAUUCGUAGAUAUCGGGAGGAACACCAGUGGCGAAGGCGGCGACCUGGGCCAAUAUUGACGCUGAGGUGCGAAAGCGUGGGGAGCAAACAGG